AAUAUCAAAGGUGAGCCAGUACAGGAUGGACCCGCGUCUGAUUAGCUAGUUGGUAAGGUAACGGCUUACCAAGGCGACGAACAGUAGCCGACCUGAGAGGGUGAUCGGCCACAUUGGAACUGAGACACGGUCCAAACUCCUACGGGAGGCAGCAGUGGGGAAUAUUGCACAAUGGGCGAAAGCCUGAUGCAGCAACGCCGCGUGAG
Molecule: ribosomal RNA, 206 nt
Filed under: Clostridioides difficile
Lineage: Bacteria; Bacillati; Bacillota; Clostridia; Peptostreptococcales; Peptostreptococcaceae
Description: partial 16S ribosomal RNA
Rfam family: Bacterial small subunit ribosomal RNA
Source: RNAcentral